Molecule: long non-coding RNA, 1255 nt
Filed under: Marmota monax (woodchuck)
Lineage: Eukaryota; Metazoa; Chordata; Mammalia; Rodentia; Sciuridae
Source: RNAcentral
GAAGGCCUUUCCGAGUGGGCACCAUUUGGGCAGAGGCCUAAGGAAGCCAGCAAUGCAGACAUUCAGGUAAAAGUAACAGCAAGAACUUGACAAAAGCACUGUUAUGGUUUGGGUUUUUAAUGUCUCCCCCAAAGUUCACAUGUUAGGCAAUGCAGGGAACAUUCAGAGGUAAAAUUAUUAUGAGAACAGUAACCUAGUCUGUGAAAAAUUCCAUUUGAUUAAUAAUUCAGAUUAAUAAUUUAAUAGACUACUGAGUGAUAGCAAUAGGCAGGUGCUGUGUGCCUGGAGGAAGUAGGUCACUGAGGGCAUGACUUGGAUUAUAUUUGUCCAAGUUCCUUUCCCUUUGCUUUCCCAGUGCCAUGAGGUAAGCACUUCCUCCACCACGCCCUUCUGCCGUGAUGUCUCCCUUACCUCAGAGGGCCCCAUAGCCAUGGAGUCAGCCAACCACAGGCUGAGACCUCUGAAACUGUAAGCCUCAAAUAAACUUUUCCUUCUCUGAGAUAUAAGGUAUUUUGGUCACAGUAAUGAAAAGCUAACAUAAGCACAAGUUUUAUUUUGUAAUUAUAGGUUUCUGGGCCCUAUCUACCAAUAUUAGAAGGAAAGGUAUGAUAUUGUUUCAGAGUAGCAAUUAUAUGUUUAUAAAUAAAUAAGUGAUAACAAUAUCAUCAUUAUCAACGGCUAGCAUCUAUUGCUCUCAAUACACUCCAGAAAAAUAUUUUAAGUGCUUUGCCUAUGUUAGCAGAUUUAAUUCUCACAACAGCCUUAUGAGGUAGAUUAGGAAAUUGAGGGUCAAGAUGGGUAAGUAAAUCGUGCAGGGUUAUACAGCUGAUAUAUUUAGCUGGCUGAUCUGGAAUUUGAACUCAGGUACUCUGGAAGCUACCUGCCUCCACAGUUAACCACCUCCAUAGUUAGCCACUUGUUAAGAUUGAAUCACCUUCUGACCCCAGCACACCAAAUUCAUAUUCUAAAGUCCCCAGGACCUCAGAAUGUAAUUGUAUUGGAAAUAUGAUUUUCAAAAAGAAGUAAUUAAGUUAAAAUAAGGUCCUUAGAGUGAGCUCUUAUCAGAUAUGACUAGUAUCCUUAUAAGAAGAGGAAAUUUGGAGGAAAAUACACCCAGUGGGAAGACACAGGAAGAUCACAUCCAUUAUCUAUCAGUCACAGAGAGAAGCCUCAGAAGAAACCAAUGUUGGCAGUACCUUAAUCUCAAACUUCUGACCCCCCCAAACUGUGAGAAAAUAAGUUUAUUUAAUAAGCC